GAUGAACGCUAGCGGCAGGCUUAACACAUGCAAGUCGAGGGGUAUAGGUUUUCGGACCUAGAGACCGGCGCACGGGUGCGUAACGCGUAUGCAAUCUACCUUUUGCAGAGGGAUAGCCCCAGAGAAAUUUGGAUUAAUACCUCAUAGUAUAUGGACUUCGCAUGGAGACCAUAUUAAAGUUCCAACGGCAAAAGAUGAGCAUGCGUCCCAUUAGCUAGAUGGUAAGGUAACGGCUUACCAUGGCUACGAUGGGUAGGGGUCCUGAGAGGGAGAUCCCCCCACACUGGUACUGAGACACGGACCAGACUCCUACGGGAGGCAGCAGUGAGGAAUAUUGGGCAAUGGGCGCAAGCCUGAUCCAGCCAUGCCGCGUGCAGGAUGACGGUCCUAUGGAUUGUAAACUGCUUUUUGUACAGGAAGAAACACUGGGUUCGUGAACCAGCUUGACGGUACUGUAAGAAUAAGGAUCGGCUAACUCC
Molecule: ribosomal RNA, 479 nt
Filed under: uncultured bacterium
Lineage: Bacteria
Description: bacterial SSU rRNA
Rfam family: Bacterial small subunit ribosomal RNA
Source: RNAcentral